Molecule: long non-coding RNA, 2417 nt
Organism: Leptopilina boulardi
Lineage: Eukaryota; Metazoa; Arthropoda; Insecta; Hymenoptera; Figitidae
Exons: 2
Source: RefSeq, a predicted model, not a curated record
UUUUGCUUCAUUUCUAUAUUGGAGACAGUUUGAAAUAGUUGUUUUACGUUACAAGUGGUCAUUCACGGUUUGCCAAGGGUAAAUUAAAACUUAUCGAAAGUGUACAGAUACAACAUCAACAGUAAGAACAUUAAAAAAUAAAAACAACAAAAAGCGAAUCGGCUCAUGAUGAACGACACGUUAGUUUUCGUAUACAACAUUCAUCGAAUUUUCAAUUUCUAUCUAUUUGUCACUACAUUACCACUCUCUGAGUUAUUUUUUACAACAAAGGCCUAAUUACAUUGAAUCAGCGAAAUCAGACUGUCACUGUACUCAAUACUUAUUUUAAAUACCUUAAUAAUUCCAACAAUGAAUCCGAGAAAAAGCUCCAGCUUCUACAAAAUGUACUAAUAGGAACUGAUCUUUAUGGUGGCGGCGAAAAUGAAACACUUGAUUUGCAAUAUGUAAAUGAAACAUACCAGUAAAUCAUCAACACUGCUCUAUUUUCUCACUAUUGUAACGUUAACGAAUAUUUAACAGGAAUAAUCAACAAGGCAAAUAAUACAACUUACAAAAUCAUGUUUAAAAACAAACAAUAGCAAAAAACUCAAUUUUUUGUCUGUUAAAAAAGUUUUUUUUGAAUAUAUAUACUGCCAAUAUUUCCCGUGCCAGAAAAUACAGAUAUGAACAUAAUGGAAGUGGAUUAUAUAUAUGCAAUGGCUGGUUUAAAAAUUGUCAGAUUUAUACUUGGAAAAACUCAAAACGCUUCGUUUGGUGAUUACAUUUUAAUUUCACGAGAGUUUGAUUUACAAGAGCAUUACGGAAACGAAACUUAUGAAAUAGGGUUAAAAAUUUUCUUAAUACCGGCACUAUUUUUUUACGCCUCUAAAGAAAGAGAAAUAUUCAGGGAGAAAUAUCAAACUUCUUUAAAUAUGGAGUUUUGAAAUAAAGCUUAUGAAAAUUUAUUUUCACAUAUUAAUUUAACAAUGAAUAAAAUUGUACAGCAAUUUUAUUCAUUGUUAAAUUAAUAUGUGAAAAUAAAUUUUCAUAAGCUUUAUUCCAAAACUCUAUAUUUAAAGACCACUAGAUUAACUUCAUUGUAUCAAUUUUUAAAAGCUUUGGCUAGAACCGUUUCGCAGGAAAUUCUUAACAAGCACCUGUUAAAAGAUUUAUCCAUUACCUUCCUAAAAGUGAUAGAUCCUCGAUUUGAAUUAACCUUCACAUUAAGCAAGUUUGGUAACCAAUCAUUGCACAAGACAUAUAAAAUUAUGAUUCAAAAAAUUCUGAACAUUUCUAUAAAUAAAAAUCUAAAAUUGAUAUUAACAUCUAUGUUAAAAAAGCUUAAUACUAAUAUGAAAUUGUCAACCACAUUUAAUGGUUUAAUACCUAAGGUUUUACAUGAAGAGAAUAAUUAUAAACUCGUUCAAUACUAUUAUCCCGGCGGUGAGAACUUCUUUGGACCAACAUGCGUAUCAUCAUCAAGAAAUAUUGCAUAACUGAGAACCAUCGAAAGCAAUCCAUUUCAAGUUCCUGUAUUGAAAGUAAAGGAGGACAUGGAAAAAAUGUUUUAUCGUAAAUAUAAUCCAACAACUAAUGAAAUUUCUAAUCAAAAGUUAAAAAUGGAUAAAAAUGAUAUUCUACGAAGUAAUAUUGAUGUGUCUAAAAUGGAAAGAGGUGAGAUUAUUCGAAGACUUAUGCCUUAUCUUAAUCUAGAUGCAGAUAUAAAAAUAACAAAAAAUUAUCAACUUUAUUAUAAUACGAUUGAAUGGAAUAUACCACCAACGAAAUCUGUUAAUCCAGGUAUACUUCACAAAGAAGCGUGCCAAUGGAUAAUAUUCUUUAUACUGAACAAUUGGCUGAAUAUAACUUCAGAUCUAGAUUUAUGUUUGGACUUAAUGACUAUGAGAAAAUUUUAUUAUCUUUAAACGAUUUAAAAGAUUUAAAACUUGAAAAAUUGGCUAAUUUAUACAAAGAGAAAGAAAACCCAAGUAGCACGAUAUAUCAACCAGAUGUCACGGUGAUAUCACUGGGGAAUGUCAUCGUGACAUCAGGAAAAUGUCAAAAUGUCCGCCUUACGGUGAUAUCACACGGUGAUAUCACACGGUGACAUCGAGGUGAUAUCACAGUCAUAUCACGGUGAUAUCAUGGUGACAUCGAGGUGAUAUCAUAGUCAUAUCACGGUGAUAUCAUGGUGAUAUCACUGUGAUAUCAUGUUGAUAUUUUACAGGUAUUUAAAAUUUUUUAAAAAUUAUUAUUUUUUAUUAUUUUUUAAAUUAUUAAAAAUUUUAAAUCCCUGUGAAAUAUCAACAUUGUUGCAAACAUAAUUUGAAUAAAAAAUUGUUUAAUUUUGUAAAAAUAAAAUAAUAUACAUCGAAAAUUUUAUUUGUAAAUUUAAAAAGAUUUUUUAAAUAAGUAAUAAAUCUUUCAUUUCAAUUACA